CUACGUAGGGUGCGAGCGUUGUCCGGAAUUACUGGGCGUAAAGAGCUCGUAGGUGGUUUGUCGCGUCGUCUGUGAAAUUCCGGGGCUUAACUCCGGGCGUGCAGGCGAUACGGGCAUAACUUGAGUACUGUAGGGGAGACUGGAAUUCCUGGUGUAGCGGAGAAAUGCGCAGAUAUCAGGAGGAACACCGGUGGCGAAGGCGGGUCUCUGGGCAGUAACUGACGCUGAGGAGCGAAAGCAUGGUUAGCGACCAGGAUUAGAUACCCUGGUAGUCCAUGCCGUAAACGGUGGGCGCUAGGUGUAGGGGUCUUCCACGACUUCUGUGCCGUAGCUAACGCAUUAAGCGCCCCGCCUGGGGAGUACGGCCGCAAGGCUAAAACUCAAAUGAAUUGACGGGG
Molecule: ribosomal RNA, 398 nt
Filed under: uncultured bacterium
Lineage: Bacteria
Description: partial 16S ribosomal RNA
Rfam family: Bacterial small subunit ribosomal RNA
Source: RNAcentral